AUGUCGGACGCGCCGGCGAGCCCGCCGGGCGGCGGAGGAGGCGGCGACGGCGGCGGCUUCGGCGGCGUCAGGGAGCAGGACAGGUUCCUGCACAUCGCCAACAUCAGCAGCAUCAUGAAGAAGGCCAUCCUGGCCAACGACAAGAUCGCCAAGGAUGCCAAGGAGACCUUGCGGGAGGCGAGCGACAAGUGCCAGAGGGAGAAGCUCAAGACCAUUAACAUCGACGAGCUGCUCUGGGCGAUGGCCACGCUAGGCUUUCAAGAGCACAUUGAGCCCCUCAAGGUUUAUCUACAGAAGUACAGAGAGGUGCAUGCCCAUUUAGCCAUGUGGGAUUUUUUUAUCUGA
RNAcentral lists this ribosomal RNA (345 nucleotides) under Triticum aestivum (bread wheat). RNAcentral describes it as "partial small subunit ribosomal RNA". Lineage: Eukaryota; Viridiplantae; Streptophyta; Magnoliopsida; Poales; Poaceae. The record is from RNAcentral.